Molecule: transfer RNA, 73 nt
Filed under: Heterocephalus glaber (naked mole-rat)
Lineage: Eukaryota; Metazoa; Chordata; Mammalia; Rodentia; Bathyergidae
Rfam family: tRNA
About the family: Transfer RNA (tRNA) molecules are approximately 80 nucleotides in length.
Source: Rfam by way of RNAcentral
UGGGAUGUAGCUCAGUGAAAGAGCACUUGGCCUAGCAUGUAUAAGGCCCUGGGUUCACUUCUCAGUAUCUCAA